AUUGAACGCUGGCGGCAGGCCUAACACAUGCAAGUCUAACGAGUGGCGGACGGGUGAGUAAUGUCUGGGAAACUGCCCGAUGGAGGUGUAUAACUACUGGAAACGGUAGCUAAUACCGCAUACCAUCGGAUGUGCCCAGAUGGGCUUAGCUAGUAGGUGGGGUAACAGCUCACCUAGGCGACGAUCCCUAGCUGGUCUGAGAGGAUGACCAGCCACACUGGAGCGUCGAAACGGUCCGGACUCCUUAGGGAGGCGGCAGUUGGGAAUUGUGCCCGAGGGGCGCAAGCAUGGUGCCGCCAUGCCGGGUGUAUGGAGAAGGCCUUCGGGUUGUAGGGGACGUUCAGCGAGGAGGCGUUACUCGCAGGAGAGGCACCGGCUAAUCCCGUGCCAGCAGCCGCGGUAAUAC
This 406-nucleotide ribosomal RNA is filed under the name uncultured bacterium. Its description in RNAcentral is "partial 16S ribosomal RNA". It matches the Rfam family "Bacterial small subunit ribosomal RNA", at positions 30 to 526 of the family's 1533-position model. The record is from RNAcentral.